RNAcentral lists this ribosomal RNA (326 nucleotides) under uncultured eukaryote. RNAcentral describes it as "partial 18S ribosomal RNA". It matches the Rfam family "Eukaryotic small subunit ribosomal RNA", at positions 1470 to 1796 of the family's 1831-position model. The record is from RNAcentral.
CCCUUAGAUGUCCUGGGCCGCACGCGCGCUACACUGAACGGAUCAGCGCGUUUUCCCUUCCCGAGAGGGACGGGUAACCUGCUGAACCCCGUUCGUGGUAGGGAUCGGGGCUUGCAAUUAUUCCCCGUGAACCAGGAAUGCUCAGUAAGUGCAAGUCAUAAGCUUGCGUUGAUUACGUCCCUGCCCUUUGUACACACCGCCCGUCGCUACUACCGAUUGAACGUUUUAGUGAGGUACUCGGACUGAGCCUCAGAAGAUUCACGUCUUUUGUGCUGCUCGGGAAGAUUCCCAAACUUGAGCGUUUAGAGGAAGUAAAAGUCGUAACA